Molecule: long non-coding RNA, 528 nt
Filed under: Neogale vison (American mink)
Lineage: Eukaryota; Metazoa; Chordata; Mammalia; Carnivora; Mustelidae
Description: Neovison vison (American mink) lncRNA (ENSNVIG00000002728.1)
Source: RNAcentral
AAAGAAAUAAGGUUGGAGAAAAAUCUAAACCGUGAACUUCUGGCCUGGCCUCUUCCUUACACAGCUCUGGUUUCUUGGAAUGAUUAGUAAUCCUUGCUUCUUCCACUGAUUUGUCAGCUCAUUGCCUAACAGAACUUCGUCAAGCAUGGGACAUGUGUUAUCUCUGCCUAAGAAGACAUGGCUGCUGUCCCCACUCUGCAGAUGAGCAAAUUGAGGCUCCCAGAGAAAAUUACUGGCAUUACUUUGUACCCUUAAUUUGGUACCAGGAAAGAUGGGAAAAGAUGAUGAACAUUUUAGAAGCUGGUUUCUCCCCACUGUGGAAGGGGUUGGAUGAUGUACCUCGCUCUCUGGGACACCCCACUUGGCUGUAAUCUCAGGAAGGCCUCUUAAACCCCGGCUCAUCCCGCAGCCACUUCUGGAAGCUACUUGAGAGGAAAAAAAAAAAAUGAUGUGACAGGUCCUCUCAGGAAGGAUUUUCAGAAACCCAGCAUCCGCAGAAGAAAGUGGCCCAUUUCCCUUUUGCAAAGU